Long non-coding RNA from Poecilia latipinna (sailfin molly), 424 nucleotides. RefSeq lists it as uncharacterized. The transcript is spliced from 3 exons. The record is from RefSeq and is a predicted model, not a curated record. NCBI's taxonomy places the organism in Eukaryota, Metazoa, Chordata, Actinopteri, Cyprinodontiformes, Poeciliidae.
AAUUAAAGAUGGCGACAGGACGUUCGUGUGGAAGGACGGGUAUAUUGGUUGGACUACUUCAUAAUAGCAAAUUAGAAUAUAGAGUUAUUAAAACCUAUAAUAAUCUCGACUGGGAAUCAUGUCAAAGCAUAUAUCCAGCUGUUUGUGGACUAGGCAUAGGAAUAAUGGUUCUUACUGCAAAGCGCAGCAGCAGGCACGACUUUCCGACUCCAGAGUCACCGAUGAGGAGAAGCUUGAACAGGUCAGUGGAUGGAGUUAAACUGGUCAUUGUUCCCCAUCAGUGAGCGUCCCAGGAGACCGGAGCGAGCUCGGAUAAAUAGCUGCUUUUCACUAUUCACCCUCAUUUUACCACGAUCCCUGGCUCCUGCAUGUGAAUCUGUUUGGAAAACCUGUGUGCAUUUGUGUGUGUGUGUGUGUGUGCGCG